CACAUAAGACAUCCUAACCAGAUGUAUGACAAAAAUCAAUUUUAAAUAUGGACAAACUACAUGCCUCUUUUUUAUUAUUGAAUCAAUGUACAUCAUAGUGUCUUAUUAUAUUUCAUGCUCCAAUGCAUGUAUAAAAUAUCCACGCUUCAACAACAAAGGGUAUGAAGCAAACAAAAAAUAGCCCCAUGCUGUGAUAUUUUGUCUUCCAGUGCAAAGGGGGCUCUUACAUAAAAAUGACCAUUCAAAAAUGGCACAAAACCGCUGAACAGCAAACCAACAUUAAGAGCAAGAACUCCUUUUGUGCAUGUUUUCACAAAAAUCAACAAAUUCAAAAAUGUAAUCUUGACCUGCCUGUCAUUCAAAAUCCCCAAAUUAUUAGGCAUACUCAUUUUAGGAGCUCCUCAUGCACUUUAAAUGAACUUGCACCGGAUCUUCUGAAGAAGAAAAAAUCUCAAUUGAUUUGAGUGCUUGGCAGCUUCAGUAUACUUCUCACCAGGGGUGGCAUCAGCUGAUGGGAAGAGGCCACCGUCACCCCUAUGAAAUUCUUGGCCACAAUACUCGCCAGUCAGUCACAUAGGUCCUAGUGUCAGUUACAUUAAACGUCGGAAAAGUCACCCCCCCGUCGACUAUAGGUUCAGCGGAAGAAAAUCUCAAUCUAAUUAUUUUUUCAUAACAUUGAUAUGAAUAUGGCGGCACAGCGGACAACUGGUUAGUACAUCUGCCUCACAUUUCUGAGGUCCCGGGUUCAAAUCCGGCUUCGCCUGUGUACAGUUUGCAUGUUCUCCCCGUGCCUGUGUGGUUUUUCUCCGGAUACUCCGGUUUCCUCCCACAUUCCAAAAACAUGCAAGGUAAGUUAAUUUAAGACUUAAGUUGUCCGUAGGUGUGAAUGUUGUUCGUCUGUAUGUGCCCUAUGAUUGGCUGAAGACCAGUUCAGGGUGUACCCCGCCUCCCGCCCGAAGUCGGCUGAGAUAGGCGCCAGCACACCCAUGACCCAAGCGAGGAUAAGCGGUUCAGAAAAUGGAUGGAUGGUGGAUGAUGAUAUGAAUAUUAUCCCUGUAUUUGUGUCACUCCACCCCCAUUACACUGUUGUAAAAGUACUUCCUGAAGUAUUUCCUGAAUGCAGAGGACCGUUUGCUCAGAGAGGAUCCAGAAAGAGGAAGUAGAUUGCAUGAUUGUGUGUGUGUGCGUGUGUGUCACUUUUGUGAGACAGGAUCUCUGUUUGUGUUAUCGCGUGUGUGUCUGUGUGCGCGCAUAUAUUCACACACGCCCUUCCUUGAGUUUUGGUGCGACUGAGUCAUGUGUCGUGCAUCAGGACUUUGCAACAGUUGCACUUUGGAAUGAGGAAGGAGAUUUUGACAACAGGCCUGAGGAUUUUAGAAGACGAAGCCGCGGUGUGAGCAUCAAGCUCAGACAUUCCACCAUGACACCGUGCCGAGUACUUGGUGAUAUCUACUGGACUGCACCAUAUAUUCCAGGAAGGUGAUCAUGGCCCAGGAUCUGGUCCUGAAGCAACGCAGCGAGAUCCUCUACUGUCUCUGCGCCAACGGCUCGACUGAGUCGCUGGAGAGGGUCCUGGAUGUCCUCCUGGCCCGUGGGGAGCUUUCGUGGGAGGAUUACCACAAUGUGCGUGUGCAGGGGAGACCGCUUCACGCCAACGCCAGGCAUCUGCUGGACCUGGUCUAUACCAAAGGGGAAGCAGCGUGCCAGGCCUUCGCCGAGGCUUUCCAGCAGACCCGACCUGAAGCUUGGGGGCCUGAAGUGCCGGGGCCUGUCACCAGGGUGCUUCUGACCCGAAGGCCCAGCCUGGUGGGAGAGCUAAGAGGCUGUGUGGAUGGAGCUCUGGAAGCUCUGCUGGAAUCAGGAUGCUUCACCCAGGAGGACUGUAGAGACGUACGCUUGCCUGUACACACUCCCUCGCAGCAGGCCAGACGCUUGCUGGAUCACGUGAGCUCGAAAGGAGAGUCCGCGGCUAAUGUGGUGCUAUGCUACAUUGAGCAAAAGCAACAGUCUGGGUAUAACCUGACAACAGAGAAGACCACACCCAAAGAGCUCCUCACAUACCAAAAGAAGUUGCGCAGUUCCGUGUCGGCGCAGUCGAGCUUCCUUAGCACCUACGGAGGAACUGGCCACAUGUCACUGGAUGACAUCUAUACUGAAGGCCAACUUGAGCUGGCGUAUGACUGCAAGGAUCAAGGAGAUUUGGGCCUGGAGGACAUCGUUGGUACAGCGGGCACUGUGAACGAGGAGGCAGACACGGUCCUGGUGUCUGGGGAUGCGGGCAGCGGUAAGAGUACCUUACUCCAGAGGCUGCACCUUCUCUGGGCUCGACAGGCCGCCCUACCCGAAUUCCUCCUCCUAUUCCCUUUCAGCUGUCGCAAGCUGAAUUCUGAACUCGAGGAGCUGUCGGUCCAAGAGCUGCUCUUCCGCAACUGUUGCUGGCCCGACCAUGAGCGGGAUGAGAUCUUCCGCUUCAUCCUGGACUACCCGCACCUUGUGUUCAUCACCUUCGAUGGCCUCGACGAGCUCAAGCAGAGCUUCUCGGACGACUGCAGGCUCUGCUGCCCCACGCAGCCCGCCCCUGUGCACAUAAUACUGUUCAACCUGCUCCAGGGGUCCCUCCUAAAGGGGGUGCGAAAGUUGGUGACCAGUCGGCCGGAGGCUGUGGGUCCAACGUUGAGAAAGCAUCUCCGCAAAGAACUCUUCCUCAAAGGGUUCUCCCCCGAAGGCAUCAACUGUUUCAUCAAGAAACAACACCAGGACUCGUCGGUGGCCUCUAAAGUCCUGGCGUCCAUUCAGGCCAACACAACUUUAUUGGGACUCUGCCACAGUCCUGUGCUCUGCUGGAUUGUCUCACAGUGCCACAAGGAGCUGCUGGGCUGUGGAGACGGGACACCACGGACCAUAACGGAUGUGUACCUCAUGAUCCUGCAGCACUUUUUGCAGCACCAAAGCCCCCAGAAGUGUUCCAUGGGGGCCGGUUGGCUUCAGGAGCACCUGGUAGGGGUCUUGAGUCUGGGCCAGCUAGCUUUUCGGGGUGUAGAAACUUGCUGUUACGUCUUCGCUGGCGCUGACCUGGAGACCUGCUGUGUUACAGACAAGGACAUCUACAAGGGCUUCCUCACCCAAAGCAAGGGCAUGUCGUCCUUACAGAUUCUUCAGUACGAAUUCCUUCACGUGACCAUGCAGUGUUUCUUUGCCGCGCUUUACAUCGUUUUGUCCAACAACACGGACCGCUCCACUGUACCUAGGCUCUUUGAGCUGAGGGAGGCAGGCUCCAGUAGCACCUGCUUCGGGUUCUGCUUGCCUGUGGACCACCAACAGGAGCUGGCCGAAACCCCCAAUCUACAAAUAACAGCCACUUUUGUCGCCGGUCUUCUUUCCCAGAGACACCGACACCUAUUGCUGCAGUGCGCCCCAUCACCCACUGUGGAAAUGAAAGCGAGACAGGUGGUCCGGUGCCUCCACAAAGGCAUGCAGAAGCACUUCAAGUCCAUCCCCAAGCCAGUUGAGGGUGAAAAAAAGAGCAUGCACGCCAUGCCUGGCUUUGUCUGGCUCAUCAAGUGCAUCUACGAGAUGCGGGAGAGCAACAUGGCCAAAGAGGCACUAAGCAAGCUGGAGGUUGACCACCUGAAGCUGACCUACUGCAACAUCGGACCCGUGGAGUGCACAGCUCUGGCCUACGUGCUCCAGCACCUGAGAAGUCCUGUGGGAAUCCAGCUGGACAACAACUCUGUGGGAGACGUGGGCGUGGAGCAGCUCCUUCCCUGUUUGCCUAUUUGCAAGUCCCUUUACCUCAGAAAUAAUAACAUCACCGACGAAGGGAUUCGCAAACUGAUCGCAAAGGGAAUCCAGUGUGACAACUUCCAGAAAAUUGCUGUUCCCUUUUAGACUCUUCAACAACAAGCUCACUGACGCUUGUAUGCAACACGUUUCUCAUCUGCUGAAAACCAAACAGAAUUUCCUCUCUUUGAGAAUGGGCAACAACAAUAUUACAUCGGAAGGAGCCAAAGUGCUAG
Molecule: RNA transcript, 4016 nt
Organism: Phyllopteryx taeniolatus (common seadragon)
Lineage: Eukaryota; Metazoa; Chordata; Actinopteri; Syngnathiformes; Syngnathidae
Gene: nod2
Gene name: nucleotide-binding oligomerization domain containing 2
Exons: 6
Source: RefSeq, a predicted model, not a curated record